Long non-coding RNA from Astatotilapia calliptera (eastern happy), 1233 nucleotides. Lineage: Eukaryota; Metazoa; Chordata; Actinopteri; Cichliformes; Cichlidae. The record is from Ensembl.
GCGGAGGUUUGCCCUGGUGCAGGUAUGACACAGCCGUCAUGUCAGUGGAAGGAUCUGGGAGUUUCUCUGGGAAUGUCACAUUCCUGUGGUUUUCUUCCCACGGAGUGAACAGCAGAUACUAAUGUUUUUGUCACUUUUUACAGAAUCAGUGUAAGGUCUGUACUUCCACGUUUUAAAUGCUGCACUGUCAUACUCUCGCUGCACUCGAUAUAUUAUCCAUUGCUGAUCUGCACACAGCUGUUGCCACGAACGUCGUACUCACUUACGUCACUGUCAUGAGACACUCUCACAAACGAGAUCAUGGUUUAGUAACGCAGUAAUGCAGCAUGCUUACGGGAAAGUAACAGUAACCUAAUUACCUUUUUUGCAAUAAUAAACUUACUUUACUUGUUACUUGAAAAAAGUAAUCGAAUUACAGUAACGUGUUGCUGCCCAUCUCUGCCAGCGAAGUAGGCCAGGUGUGCAGCAGGUGAUGUGUUUGGCGGAGUUUGUUUUAUGAUUACAUUUUUAAAAAUGUAAUUACAAUUUUUUUUUUUUUUUUUUUUGUAAAGAGAAAGUCCAAAUGAAGUUUGUUAAACCUAGUUUGGAUGUUCUGACCAACAUCUGCUUCACAGGCGAUGGAGGCUGGAAUGGGGCAGGGCCAAGCCUGUCUCCUCCUAAUUCUAAACCUGAUCUUGAUCCUUGUUCUGGUCCUCAAUCAGAGCCAUAUGAUGGGCUCUGUGCUCCUGUGCCCGGACGGUCUGAUGAGGCUCUGGUCACCAUUGACUCAGAUGCUCUGAUGGCCUCGCCUAAAGGAGAGGCUGCAGGUCGGAAAGGUCCAGACCCACAGCUGAGGGACAGCAGCUAUCUUGAAAGACACCGCAGGAAACGCAUCACAUAGAGCUGCAGCAUGCUGUGUUGCCUGCUACCCAUAAUCCAAGGCAGCCAUGUUGACAUGGUAACAGUGCUGGAGAUGACGGUGACGCUCUUAGAGACAGUUCAUGAAGUAGUCCCAGCCGAGGACCCAAACGUACAGGUAAAGCAGAGGGGCUGAUCGCGCGAUAUGGCAGUCUCGCUUCUGUUAGUCUGCCCCAGGGCAGCUGUGGCUACAACUGUGGUUUGCCUGCACCAGUGUGUGAAUGUGAGAGGGAAUGAAUAGUGGAAUUGUAAAGCGCUUUGGGUGCCUAGAAAAGCGCUAUAUAAAUGCAAUUCAUUAUUAUAAACACCAGGAAAUAGACCCAGCCCAAGAUGCAC